Molecule: non-coding RNA, 45 nt
Filed under: Schistosoma haematobium
Lineage: Eukaryota; Metazoa; Platyhelminthes; Trematoda; Strigeidida; Schistosomatidae
Source: RNAcentral
AUCAAGCCGAUGAGUCCAAAACAGAACGAAACGCGCGUCCUGGAU